Molecule: ribosomal RNA, 238 nt
Filed under: uncultured bacterium
Lineage: Bacteria
Description: partial 16S ribosomal RNA
Rfam family: Bacterial small subunit ribosomal RNA
Source: RNAcentral
CGGCGGACGGGUGAGUAACGCGUGGGUAACCUGCCUCGUACAGGGGGAUAACAGUUGGAAACGGCUGCUAAUACCGCAUAAGCGCACAGUACCGCAUGGUACCGUGUGAAAAACUCCGGUGGUAUGAGAUGGACCCGCGUCUGAUUAGCUAGUUGGUGGGGUAACGGCCUACCAAGGCGACGAUCAGUAGCCGGCCUGAGAGGGUGAACGGCCACAUUGGGACUGAGACACGGCCCAA